GCUCCAAUAGCGUAUAUUAAAGUUGUUGCAGUUAAAAAGCUCGUAGUUGGAUUUGUGGCGUCUUGCGUGGCCAAUUGUUGGUGCUGCUGCGGGGUGCCAUCCUUGGGUGGAUUGUGUGGCAUUAGGUUGUCGCGCAGGGGAUGCCAUCGUUUACUGUGAAAAAAUCAGCGCGUUCAAAGCAGCUUACGCCGUUGAAUGUA
This 200-nucleotide ribosomal RNA is filed under the name uncultured eukaryote. Its description in RNAcentral is "partial 18S ribosomal RNA". It matches the Rfam family "Eukaryotic small subunit ribosomal RNA", at positions 588 to 803 of the family's 1831-position model. The record is from RNAcentral.